AGUAAAUUGGUUAAGUUAGAAAGGGCGCACGGUGGAUGCCUUGGCACUAGGAGCCGAAGAAGGACGGGACUAACACCGAUAUGCUUUGGGGAGCUGUACGUAAGCGUUGAUCCAGAGAUUUCCGAAUGGGGGAACCCACUAUCUUUAGUCGGAUAGUAUCCUUACGUGAAUACAUAGCGUGAGGAAGGCAGACCCAGGGAACUGAAACAUCUAAGUACCUGGAGGAAGAGAAAGAAAAAUCGAUUUCCUGAGUAGCGGCGAGCGAAACGGAAAGAGCCCAAACCAAGAAGCUUGCUUCUUGGGGUUGUAGGACACUCUAUACGGAGUUACAAAAGAAAGUUAUAAAUGAAGCGGUCUGGAAAGGCCCGCCAAAGACGGUAACAGCCCGGUAGUUGAAAUAGCUUUCCCUCCAGAGUGGAUCCUGAG
RNAcentral lists this ribosomal RNA (426 nucleotides) under Listeria monocytogenes. RNAcentral describes it as "partial 23S ribosomal RNA". It matches the Rfam family "Bacterial large subunit ribosomal RNA", at positions 1 to 412 of the family's 2925-position model. Lineage: Bacteria; Bacillati; Bacillota; Bacilli; Caryophanales; Listeriaceae. The record is from RNAcentral.